AGAAAUACUUCGCUGAUGUGGGGGUGGGUCUGAAGCUUCUAGAAGAUUAACAUAGGCUCUCCAUCUCCUACUCCUACAAAAUACGUCCCCGUCGUAGAGAACGGUAACAUGCCUCUCAAUUAUCCAAGCUUGGGUAUACCCAACCCCUUGGGAGGAUGGGUAGCAUAGGCUAAAUUGAGAGAG
This 183-nucleotide ribozyme is filed under the name Anopheles gambiae (African malaria mosquito). RNAcentral describes it as "drz-agam-2-2 ribozyme". It matches the Rfam family "drz-agam-2-2 ribozyme". Lineage: Eukaryota; Metazoa; Arthropoda; Insecta; Diptera; Culicidae. The record is from Rfam by way of RNAcentral.